This 2905-nucleotide ribosomal RNA is filed under the name Escherichia coli. RNAcentral describes it as "23S ribosomal RNA". It matches the Rfam family "Bacterial large subunit ribosomal RNA". The record is from RNAcentral. Lineage: Bacteria; Pseudomonadati; Pseudomonadota; Gammaproteobacteria; Enterobacterales; Enterobacteriaceae.
GGUUAAGCGACUAAGCGUACACGGUGGAUGCCCUGGCAGUCAGAGGCGAUGAAGGACGUGCUAAUCUGCGAUAAGCGUCGGUAAGGUGAUAUGAACCGUUAUAACCGGCGAUUUCCGAAUGGGGAAACCCAGUGUGAUUCGUCACACUAUCAUUAACUGAAUCCAUAGGUUAAUGAGGCGAACCGGGGGAACUGAAACAUCUAAGUACCCCGAGGAAAAGAAAUCAACCGAGAUUCCCCCAGUAGCGGCGAGCGAACGGGGAGCAGCCCAGAGCCUGAAUCAGUGUGUGUGUUAGUGGAAGCGUCUGGAAAGGCGUGCGAUACAGGGUGACAGCCCCGUACACAAAAAUGCACAUACUGUGAGCUCGAUGAGUAGGGCGGGACACGUGGUAUCCUGUCUGAAUAUGGGGGGACCAUCCUCCAAGGCUAAAUACUCCUGACUGACCGAUAGUGAACCAGUACCGUGAGGGAAAGGCGAAAAGAACCCCGGCGAGGGGAGUGAAAAAGAACCUGAAACCGUGUACGUACAAGCAGUGGGAGCACAGAGCAAUCUGUGUGACUGCGUACCUUUUGUAUAAUGGGUCAGCGACUUAUAUUCUGUAGCAAGGUUAACCGAAUAGGGGAGCCGAAGGGAAACCGAGUCUUAACUGGGCGUUAAGUUGCAGGGUAUAGACCCGAAACCCGGUGAUCUAGCCAUGGGCAGGUUGAAGGUUGGGUAACACUAACUGGAGGACCGAACCGACUAAUGUUGAAAAAUUAGCGGAUGACUUGUGGCUGGGGGUGAAAGGCCAAUCAAACCGGGAGAUAGCUGGUUCUCCCCGAAAGCUAUUUAGGUAGCGCCUCGUGAAUUCAUCUCCGGGGGUAGAGCACUGUUUCGGCAAGGGGGUCAUCCCGACUUACCAACCCGAUGCAAACUGCGAAUACCGGAGAAUGUUAUCACGGGAGACACACGGCGGGUGCUAACGUCCGUCGUGAAGAGGGAAACAACCCAGACCGCCAGCUAAGGUCCCAAAGUCAUGGUUAAGUGGGAAACGAUGUGGGAAGGCCCAGACAGCCAGGAUGUUGGCUUAGAAGCAGCCAUCAUUUAAAGAAAGCGUAAUAGCUCACUGGUCGAGUCGGCCUGCGCGGAAGAUGUAACGGGGCUAAACCAUGCACCGAAGCUGCGGCAGCGACACUAUGUGUUGUUGGGUAGGGGAGCGUUCUGUAAGCCUGCGAAGGUGUGCUGUGAGGCAUGCUGGAGGUAUCAGAAGUGCGAAUGCUGACAUAAGUAACGAUAAAGCGGGUGAAAAGCCCGCUCGCCGGAAGACCAAGGGUUCCUGUCCAACGUUAAUCGGGGCAGGGUGAGUCGACCCCUAAGGCGAGGCCGAAAGGCGUAGUCGAUGGGAAACAGGUUAAUAUUCCUGUACUUGGUGUUACUGCGAAGGGGGGACGGAGAAGGCUAUGUUGGCCGGGCGACGGUUGUCCCGGUUUAAGCGUGUAGGCUGGUUUUCCAGGCAAAUCCGGAAAAUCAAGGCUGAGGCGUGAUGACGAGGCACUACGGUGCUGAAGCAACAAAUGCCCUGCUUCCAGGAAAAGCCUCUAAGCAUCAGGUAACAUCAAAUCGUACCCCAAACCGACACAGGUGGUCAGGUAGAGAAUACCAAGGCGCUUGAGAGAACUCGGGUGAAGGAACUAGGCAAAAUGGUGCCGUAACUUCGGGAGAAGGCACGCUGAUAUGUAGGUGAAGUCCCUCGCGGAUGGAGCUGAAAUCAGUCGAAGAUACCAGCUGGCUGCAACUGUUUAUUAAAAACACAGCACUGUGCAAACACGAAAGUGGACGUAUACGGUGUGACGCCUGCCCGGUGCCGGAAGGUUAAUUGAUGGGGUUAGCGCAAGCGAAGCUCUUGAUCGAAGCCCCGGUAAACGGCGGCCGUAACUAUAACGGUCCUAAGGUAGCGAAAUUCCUUGUCGGGUAAGUUCCGACCUGCACGAAUGGCGUAAUGAUGGCCAGGCUGUCUCCACCCGAGACUCAGUGAAAUUGAACUCGCUGUGAAGAUGCAGUGUACCCGCGGCAAGACGGAAAGACCCCGUGAACCUUUACUAUAGCUUGACACUGAACAUUGAGCCUUGAUGUGUAGGAUAGGUGGGAGGCUUUGAAGUGUGGACGCCAGUCUGCAUGGAGCCGACCUUGAAAUACCACCCUUUAAUGUUUGAUGUUCUAACGUUGACCCGUAAUCCGGGUUGCGGACAGUGUCUGGUGGGUAGUUUGACUGGGGCGGUCUCCUCCUAAAGAGUAACGGAGGAGCACGAAGGUUGGCUAAUCCUGGUCGGACAUCAGGAGGUUAGUGCAAUGGCAUAAGCCAGCUUGACUGCGAGCGUGACGGCGCGAGCAGGUGCGAAAGCAGGUCAUAGUGAUCCGGUGGUUCUGAAUGGAAGGGCCAUCGCUCAACGGAUAAAAGGUACUCCGGGGAUAACAGGCUGAUACCGCCCAAGAGUUCAUAUCGACGGCGGUGUUUGGCACCUCGAUGUCGGCUCAUCACAUCCUGGGGCUGAAGUAGGUCCCAAGGGUAUGGCUGUUCGCCAUUUAAAGUGGUACGCGAGCUGGGUUUAGAACGUCGUGAGACAGUUCGGUCCCUAUCUGCCGUGGGCGCUGGAGAAUUGAGGGGGGCUGCUCCUAGUACGAGAGGACCGGAGUGGACGCAUCACUGGUGUUCGGGUUGUCAUGCCAAUGGCACUGCCCGGUAGCUAAAUGCGGAAGAGAUAAGUGCUGAAAGCAUCUAAGCACGAAACUUGCCCCGAGAUGAGUUCUCCCUGACUCCUUGAGAGUCCUGAAGGAACGUUGAAGACGACGACGUUGAUAGGCCGGGUGUGUAAGCGCAGCGAUGCGUUGAGCUAACCGGUACUAAUGAACCGUGAGGCUUAACCUU